Molecule: ribosomal RNA, 912 nt
Filed under: uncultured crenarchaeote
Lineage: Archaea; Thermoproteati; Thermoproteota
Description: bacterial SSU rRNA
Rfam family: Archaeal small subunit ribosomal RNA
Source: RNAcentral
UUCCGGUUGAUCCCGCCGGACCCGACUGCUAUCAGAGUGGGACUAAGCCAUGCGAGUCAACAUAGCAAUAUGUGGCAUACGGCUCAGUAACACGUAGUCAACAUGCCCAGGGGACGUGGAUAACCUCGGGAAACUGAGGAUAAGCCGCGAUAGGUCAUCACUUCUGGAAUGGGUAAUGACUUAAACCUAUAUGGCCCCUGGAUUGGACUGCGGCCGAUCAGGCCGUUGGUGAGGUAAUGGCCCACCAAACCUGUAACCGGUACGGGCUCUGAGAGGAGGAGCCCGGAGAUGGGCACUGAGACAAGGGCCCAGGCCCUAUGGGGCGCAGCAGGCGCGAAACCUCUGCAAUAGGCGAAAGCUUGACAGGGUUACUCUGAGUGAUUUCCGUUAAGGAGAUCUUUUGGCACCUCUAAAAAUGGUGCAGAAUAAGGGGUGGGCAAGUCUGGUGUCAGCCGCCGCGGUAAUACCAGCACCCCGAGUGGUCGGGACGUUUAUUGGGCCUAAAGCAUCCGUAGCCGGUUCUACAAGUCUUCCGUUAAAUCCACCUGCUUAACAGAUGGGCUGCGGAAGAUACUAUAGAGCUAGGAGGCGGGAGAGGCAAGCGGUACUCGAUGGGUAGGGGUAAAAUCCGUUGAUCCAUUGAAGACCACCAGUGGCGAAGGCGGCUUGCCAGAACGCGCUCGACGGUGAGGGAUGAAAGCUGGGGGAGCAAACCGGAUUAGAUACCCGGGUAGUCCCAGCUGUAAACGAUGCAGACUCGGUGAUGAGUUGGCUUAUUGCUAACUCAGUGCCGCAGGGAAGCCGUUAAGUUUGCCGCCUGGGGAGUACGGUCGCAAGACUGAAACUUAAAGGAAUUGGCGGGGGAGCACCACAAGGGGUGAAGCCUGUGGUUCAAUUGGAUUCAACGCCGGA